GUCAGUGUGGCCGAGUGGUUAAGGCGAUAGACUAGAAAUCUAUUGGGUUCGCCCGCACAGGUUCAAAUCUCAAAUCCUGUCGCUGACG
This 88-nucleotide transfer RNA is filed under the name Aspergillus novoparasiticus. RNAcentral describes it as "tRNA-Ser". It matches the Rfam family "tRNA". Rfam says of the family: Transfer RNA (tRNA) molecules are approximately 80 nucleotides in length. Their secondary structure includes four short double-helical elements and three loops (D, anti-codon, and T loops). The record is from RNAcentral. Lineage: Eukaryota; Fungi; Ascomycota; Eurotiomycetes; Eurotiales; Aspergillaceae.